GACGAACGCUGGCGGCGUGCUUAACACAUGCAAGUCGAACGGAAAGGCCCUGCUUUUGUGGGGUGCUCGAGUGGCGAACGGGUGAGUAACACGCGAGUAACCUGCCCUUGACUUUGGGAUAACUUCAGGAAACUGGGGCUAAUACCGGAUAGGAGCUCCUGCUGCAUGGUGGGGGUUGGAAAGUUUCGGCGGUUGGGGAUGGACUCGCGGGUUAUCAGCUUGUUGGUGGGGUAGUGGCUUACCAAGGCCCUGACGGGUAGCCGGCCUGGGGGGGUGACCGGCCACCUUGGGACUGAGAGACGGCCCAGACUCCUACGGGAGGCAGUAGGGGGGAGUAUUGCGCAGUGGGCGGGAGCCUGAUGCAGCGACGCCCCGUGCGGGAUGACGGCCUUCGGGUUGUAAACCGCUUUCGCCUGUGACGAAGCGUGAGUGACGGUAAUGGGUAAAGAAGCACCGGCUAACUACGUG
RNAcentral lists this ribosomal RNA (468 nucleotides) under uncultured bacterium. RNAcentral's name for it is "partial 16S ribosomal RNA". It matches the Rfam family "Bacterial small subunit ribosomal RNA", at positions 28 to 507 of the family's 1533-position model. The record is from RNAcentral.